UUUCCGUAGGUGAACCUGCGGAAGGAUCAUUAAAAAAUGUGGUACCAUUAUUGGUACUAAUUAAUCAUCCUACCCUUUGUGAAUUUGUUUGUAACGAAUUUUUUUAAAUGGGUCUUUCCCUAAGUUGGAUUGUUAGUAAAAUACAAAAAGACUUAGGGGAAUGACUUUUUAAAAGACUUUUUUUUAAUUAAAACUUUUUGUAUUCAUUUGUCUAAAAUUUAUUUUUAUAAUAUAAAAACAACUUUUGACAAUGGAUCUCUUGGUUCUCGCAACGAUGAAGAACGCAGUAAAAUGCGAUAAGUAGUGUGAAUUGCAGAAUACGUGAAUCAUCGAAUCUUCGAACGCAUAUUGCACUUUUUUAGUUUACUAAAAAAGUAUGUCUGUUUGAGUAUCAGUAAAAUAUUCUCACAAAACAAUAUUGUUUUUGUGGUUAUGAGUGUUUUACAACGAUAAACAAGUUGUUUCACUUUAAAUUCUUUUUGUAAUUGAUUUAUACCAAUUUCAUAAAUUAAAAUUGGAUAAAAUUUUCCUUUAACGAGGAAUAACCUAAACAAUUUUAAAUUUUUGGAUUAUAAAAUCCAUCAAAGGAAUCUAUACAACAAAUAACUUGAUCUCAAAUCAGAUAAGAGUACCCGCUGAACUUAAGCAUAUCAAUAAGCGGAGGAAAAGAAACUAACAAGGAUUCCCUUAGUAACGGCGAGUGAAGCGGGAAGAGCUCAAAUUUGAAAUCUUCAAGGUUUGACCUUGACGAAUUGUAGUUUAUAGAAGUGUUUUCUGUUGGAGUUUUGGUAAAAGUUCUUUGGAAUAGGACAUCAUAGAGGGUGAGAAUCCCGUAUUUGACCAUGACUUUCCAGCUGUGUGAUACACUUUCAAAGAGUCGGAUUGUUUGGGAAUGCAGUCCAAAAUGGGUGGUAAAUUUCAUCUAAAGCUAAAUAUUGGCGAGAGACCGAUAGCGAACAAGUACCGUGAGGGAAAGAUGAAAAGAACUUUGAAAAGAGAGUUAAACAGAACGUGAGAUUGUCAAAAGGGAAGCGUUUGACACCAGUGUUGUUUUCUCGAAAAUCAAUUUAAUGAGUUCUUGUUUUUAAGUUAUUGUGACUUUAUCAGCGCAUUUCUUAUUUUACUUGACUCAUUGAAUGCACUUUUCGUUUAACAAGUCAACAUCAAUUUCUUUGGUGGUAAAAAGUUUAAAGGAAGGUGGCUUGGACUUCGGUUCAAGUGUUUAUAGCCUUUUUUCUAUGCCAUCGGAGAGAUUGAGGUCUGCAGCGUAGAUCCUUCGGGGUUAGAUACCUUUGUGCUAAGUUAUAGUCUUUUAUAGACAACUUGUUGACUAUAAUUAACCCUGUAAUUUACUCGCUUAGGCUAUUUUACCUACGCUUAGGAUGUUG
RNAcentral lists this unclassified non-coding RNA (1388 nucleotides) under uncultured Neocallimastigales. Its description in RNAcentral is "partial contains small subunit ribosomal RNA, internal transcribed spacer 1, 5.8S ribosomal RNA, internal transcribed spacer 2, and large subunit ribosomal RNA". The stretch from base 609 to 1388 matches the Rfam family "Eukaryotic large subunit ribosomal RNA", at positions 1 to 628 of the family's 3401-position model. The record is from RNAcentral. Lineage: Eukaryota; Fungi; Neocallimastigomycota; Neocallimastigomycetes; Neocallimastigales.